Molecule: ribosomal RNA, 468 nt
Filed under: uncultured bacterium
Lineage: Bacteria
Description: bacterial SSU rRNA
Rfam family: Bacterial small subunit ribosomal RNA
Source: RNAcentral
CAAGCGGGGAAGUAGGUGGUUUAAUUCAACGCACCGCAAAAAACCUUACCUGGGCUCAAACGGCUAGUGACAGGGGAUGAAAGUUCCUUUUCCCGCAAGGGACACUACAUCGAGGUGCUGCAUGGCUGUCGUCAUCUCGUGUCGUGAGAUGUUGGGUUAAGUCCCGCAACGAGCGCAACCCCUGCCUUUAUUUGCCACCAGGUCAAGCUGAGCACUCUAAAGGGACUGCCGGUGAAAAACCGGAGGAAGGAGGGGAUGACGUCAAGUCCUCCUGGCCUUUAUGUCCAGGGCUACACACAUACUACAAUGGGCGGCACAAUGAGUCCCAAACCCGCGAGGGGGAGCCAAUCUAAAAAAACCGCUCUCAGUUCGGAUUGCACUCUGCAACUCGACUGCAUGAAACUGGAAUCGCUAGUAAUCUCUGAUCACCACGCAGCGGUGAAUACCUUCCCGGGCCUUGUACACACC